GUGGUGUUCUAGAUUGGUUCACCACCUGUGCUUCCCUCCUGCGUGGAGGUUGGUAUUGUUAUUCAUUUUGAGGACGCUGCUGUUUAUACCAUCCUGAGGAACUCUAGGCUGGUGCUUCUUGAGCUCCUUGACAUUAACGGAUGUAGAGUCUGAAUUCUCAGGCCUUAAGGAAUUGGCCAUUGAAUGAUGCGGGAACUACUAGGGACCUUGAGGUUCU
RNAcentral lists this unclassified non-coding RNA (217 nucleotides) under Hevea brasiliensis (rubber tree). Lineage: Eukaryota; Viridiplantae; Streptophyta; Magnoliopsida; Malpighiales; Euphorbiaceae. The record is from RNAcentral.